Non-coding RNA from Salmo salar (Atlantic salmon), 349 nucleotides. Lineage: Eukaryota; Metazoa; Chordata; Actinopteri; Salmoniformes; Salmonidae. The record is from RefSeq and is a predicted model, not a curated record.
UGAAGAAUUUGUCCUCAGUGGUGGCAAUGACACCACUCCCAAAGCACAGAUCACACUGUCAUCAGGAAGCACACUGGUCCAGAAGAUGAGCGUGGACAACCUGCAGUCUGAAAUGGGGACAUUCGAGAGCACUAUGUCCUACUCCCAGAACAAAGUAAGAAUAUGGCACGUCUUUACUACCCACUCAUCACCCAUGGUGCUGGAGAUCUGAGGUGAAAGAAAGGCAGGUUGAGGUUGCCAGGGUCAGAGUAGUGCAGAAGGUGUAUUUUCUGAGGCAGUGAAGAGAGUAGUAGAGGAAGAUGGGUCCAGGGUGAUGGAUCCUAAGAGGAGGCUGAGGUCAAAAGAGAGC